RNAcentral lists this ribosomal RNA (414 nucleotides) under uncultured bacterium. Its description in RNAcentral is "bacterial SSU rRNA". It matches the Rfam family "Bacterial small subunit ribosomal RNA", at positions 355 to 775 of the family's 1533-position model. The record is from RNAcentral.
UCGAGGAUCUUCGGCAAUGGGCGCAAGCCUGACCGAGCGACGCCGCGUGUGCGACGAAGGCCUUCGGGUUGUAAAGCACUGUCGAGGGGGAGGAAAGCCCGCAAGGGCCUGACCUAUCCCUGGAGGAAGCACGGGCUAAGUUCGUGCCAGCAGCCGCGGUAAGACGAACCGUGCGAACGUUGUUCGGAAUCACUGGGCUUAAAGGGCGCGUAGGCGGGCGGCCCAGUCCGGGGUGAAACCUUUCGGCUUAACCGGAAGACGGCCCCGGAUACUGGUCGCCUGGAGGGGGGUAGGGGCCGUCGGAACUUCCGGUGGAGCGGUGAAAUGCGUAGAUAUCGGAAGGAACGCCGGUGGCGAAAGCGGACGGCUGGACCCCUUCUGACGCUGAGGCGCGAAAGCCAGGGGAGCGAACGG